This is a non-coding RNA of Haemonchus contortus (barber pole worm), 75 nucleotides long. The record is from Rfam. Lineage: Eukaryota; Metazoa; Nematoda; Chromadorea; Rhabditida; Trichostrongylidae.
GGACCAAAUUUGAAGUAGAGUAGGUUAGUAGGAUUGUCCGACCCUACUAAUGUACUCUACUUCAAGUUUGUGCCC